RNAcentral lists this long non-coding RNA (1039 nucleotides) under Cervus hanglu yarkandensis (Yarkand deer). RNAcentral describes it as "lncRNA (ENSCHYG00000008651.1)". Lineage: Eukaryota; Metazoa; Chordata; Mammalia; Artiodactyla; Cervidae. The record is from RNAcentral.
AGGACCUCCCACCUACUCAAGUCCACCUGUCUGGCUGAAGCUCACGUAGGACUGCUGACCUCACAUCAGGGGAAGAUCACCAUGGGCUCCCUCUGCUGCUGUCUUAUCCCCCUGGCACUGUGAGAAGAGCAUUUUCCCAUGGAAUCCUGGACCUCUGACCUUUGAGAGAGUUACACACACCAUAACCCAGAGCAGAUGAAAUUGGACAUGCAGACUGUUUCCUCCUAUCACAUAGAACAGCCGUCCUCAACCUUUUUGGCACCAGCCAGGGGCCAGUAUUGUGGAAGACAAUUUUUCCCCAGACUUGGUGUGUUUGUGUGUGUGGCGGGGGGGGAGGUGGUUUGGGGAUGAUUUGAGCACAUUACAUUUAUUCUGACUUUAUUUCUAAUCUAAUGCUGCCACUAAUCUGGCAGGAGGUAUGGGCCCAUGGCCCGGAGGUUGGAGACCAUGACAUAGAAGAUAGAAGCAGAAUGUGAGUCUAGCUGUGUCCUUCCAGCUGAGUCAUGGCGCAGGCCCCCAGUGUCCACAAGGAGCAGCCCAAAGUGACACCAAUGCCUUCACCAAGGGAGCCAGCUGUGGCCUCACUCACCACAAAUACUGCACACCACGGAAAACAAAAGGAGAGUGCUGGAUGUACCUCACUGGAAGGGAAAGGCAAGGAGACUUCUCUCUGCUCUGCCCUCCCAUCCACCUGCCAUCAGCAGCUGUCACAGUUUGGGCUGACCAGGCAGAGGCCUAAAGAGGAGGUAGAGACUCCUGUGUAAGUCGCCUGACUACAUGUUCUUUGGCAACCCCACCCCCGCCUCGGCAGGACACCCCUGGUGAUGUUCACACAGCCAGACUUUACUAUCCCUUUGGGAGCUAAAUUGUGAGUGUGCAACCAAGAAAGUGAGUGUGUGUGUGUGUGUGUGUGUGUGUGUGUGUAUGUGACGGGGCAGGGGUGGUGGGGUAGUGGGUGCCUCUUCAGACGCUGGACACUGCUCCCAUACACCAUAGAAGAAAUAUCAACUUAUUGGUAAUUGUGUAAUAAAUUACAAUU